This 495-nucleotide ribosomal RNA is filed under the name uncultured bacterium. RNAcentral's name for it is "partial 16S ribosomal RNA". It matches the Rfam family "Bacterial small subunit ribosomal RNA", at positions 28 to 507 of the family's 1533-position model. The record is from RNAcentral.
GACGAACGCUGGCGGCGUGCCUAAUACAUGCAAGUCGAACGCUGAAGGAGGAGCUUGCUUCUCUGGAUGAGUUGCGAACGGGUGAGUAACGCGUAGGUAACCUGCCUGGUAGCGGGGGAUAACUAUUGGAAACGAUAGCUAAUACCGCAUAAUAGUAGAUGUUGCAUGACAUUUGCUUCAAAGGUGCAAUUGCCUCACUACCAGAUGGACCUGCGUUGUAUUAGCUAGUUGGUGAGGUAACGGCUCACCAAGGCAACGAUACAUAGCCGACCUGAGAGGGUGAUCGGCCACACUGGGACGGAGACACGGCCCAGACUCCUACGGGAGGCAGCAGUAGGGAAUAUUCGGCAAUGGACGGAAGACUGACCGAGCAACGCCGCGGGAGUGAAGAAGGGUUUCGGAUCGUAAAGCUCUGUUGUAAGAGAAGAACGAGUGUGAGAGUGGAAAGUUCACACUGUGACGGUAUCUUACCAGAAAGGGACGGCUAACUACGUG